This 460-nucleotide ribosomal RNA is filed under the name uncultured bacterium. RNAcentral describes it as "partial 16S ribosomal RNA". It matches the Rfam family "Bacterial small subunit ribosomal RNA", at positions 338 to 795 of the family's 1533-position model. The record is from RNAcentral.
CCUACGGGUGGCUGCAGUGAGGAAUAUUGGUCAAUGGACGAGAGUCUGAACCAGCCAAGUCGCGUGAAGGAUGACUGCCCUAUGGGUUGUAAACUUCUUUUAUAUGGGAAUAAAACGUUCCACGUGUGGGAUUUUGUAUGUACCAUAUGAAUAAGGAUCGGCUAACUCCGUUCCAGCAGCCGCGGUAAUACGGAGGAUCCGAGUGUUAUCCGGAUUUAUUGGGUUUAAAGGGAGCGUAGGUGGAUUGUUAAGUCAGUUGUGAAAGUUUGCGGCUCAACCGUAAAAUUGCAGUUGAAACUGGCAGUCUUGAGUGCAGUAGAGGUAGGCGGAAUUCGUGGUGUAGCGGUGAAAUGCUUAGAUAGCACGAAGAACUCCGAUUGCGAAGGCAGUUCACUGGACUGCAACUGACACUGAGGCACGAAAGUGUGGGUAUCAAACAGGAUUAGAUACCCCAGUAGUC